RNAcentral lists this ribosomal RNA (459 nucleotides) under uncultured bacterium. RNAcentral describes it as "partial 16S ribosomal RNA". It matches the Rfam family "Bacterial small subunit ribosomal RNA", at positions 338 to 795 of the family's 1533-position model. The record is from RNAcentral.
CCUACGGGAGGCAGCAGUGAGGAAUAUUGGUCAAUGGCCGCAAGCCUGAACCAGCCACGUCGCGUGAGGGAUGACGGUCCUAUGGAUUUUAAACCUCUUUUGUCAGGGAGCAAAGGGCGCCACGUGUGGCGUUUUGCGAGUACCUUACGAAAAAGCAUCGGCUAACUCCGUGCCAGCAGCCGCGGUAAUACGGAGGAUGCGAGCGUUAUCCGGAUUUAUUGGGUUUAAAGGGUGCGCAGGCGGAUUGUCAAGUCAGCGGUAAAAUUUCGUGGCUCAACCCCGUCGUGCCGUUGAAACUGGCGUUCUUGAGUGAGCGAGAAGUAGGCGGAAUGCGUGGUGUAGCGGUGAAAUGCGUAGAUAUCACGCAGAACUCCGAUUGCGAAGGCAGCAUACCGGCGCUCAACUGACGCUGAUGCACGAAAGCGUGGGUAUCGAACAGGAUUAGAUACCCCUGUAGUC